This 508-nucleotide ribosomal RNA is filed under the name uncultured bacterium. RNAcentral describes it as "partial 16S ribosomal RNA". It matches the Rfam family "Bacterial small subunit ribosomal RNA", at positions 28 to 523 of the family's 1533-position model. The record is from RNAcentral.
GAUGAACGCUAGCUACAGGCUUAACACAUGCAAGUCGAGGGGAAACGAUAUUGGAAGCUUGCUUCCGAUAGGCGUCGACCGGCGCACGGGUGAGUAACGCGUAUCCAACCUGCCCAUCACUUGGGGAUAACCUUGCGAAAGUAAGACUAAUACCCAAUGAUAUCUCUAGAAGACAUCUGAAAGGGAUUAAAGAUUUAUCGGUGAUGGAUGGGGAUGCGUCUGAUUAGCUUGUUGGCGGGGUAACGGCCCACCAAGGCGACGAUCAGUAGGGGUUCUGAGAGGAAGGUCCCCCACAUUGGAACUGAGACACGGUCCAAACGCCUACGGGAGGCAGCAGUGAGGAAUAUUGGUCAAUGGACGAGAGUCUGAACCAGCCAAGUAGCGUGCAGGAUGACGGCCCUAUGGGUUGUAAACUGCUUUUAUAAGGGAAUAAAGUGAGCCUCGUGAGGCUUUUUGCAUGUACCUUAUGAAUAAGGACCGGCUAAUUCCGUGCCAGCAGCCGCCGUAA